GUGCAAACAAACCGGUUUUUAUAGUUAGCAUGGCAUUUUGAAUGGAGUUUGAAGCCUAAAGGACACUAUUCUACUUGCAGAUGAAGAUGGGAAAUGUAACAUGAUCUUGGUUCCUGGCAUGAAUUCAGAGGAGCAUUUCCUGAUCUCGAGUACACUGAGACAUUCAUAAUUUCCCAUGAAAAUCAAUGAGAAAGGUAAUUGAUUUCUUCUAAGAUUCAGUUUCAUUAAAUCUGAUACCUGUUCCUUAAAGCUCAAUCUUAGGACAUAUUUGGAGCUUCUGGAAUAUCAAAAUCUUACAUUGAGUCACA
Molecule: long non-coding RNA, 308 nt
Filed under: Oryctolagus cuniculus (rabbit)
Lineage: Eukaryota; Metazoa; Chordata; Mammalia; Lagomorpha; Leporidae
Description: lncRNA (ENSOCUG00000032227.1)
Source: RNAcentral